GAUGAACGCUGGCGGCGUGCCUAAUACAUGCAAGUCGAGCGAACGGACGAGAAGCUUGCUUCUCUGAUGUUAGCGGCGGACGGGUGAGUAACACGUGGAUAACCUACCUAUAAGACUGGGAUAACUUCGGGAAACCGGAGCUAAUACCGGAUAAUAUUUUGAACCGCAUGGUUCAAAAGUGAAAGACGGUCUUGCUGUCACUUAUAGAUGGAUCCGCGCUGCAUUAGCUGGUUGGUAAGGUAACGGCUUACCAAGGCAACGAUGCAUAGCCGACCUGAGAGGGGGAUCGGCCACACUGGAACUGAGCCACGGUCCAGACUCCUACGGGAGGCCGCGGUAGGGAAUCUUCCGCAAUGGGCGAAAGCCUGACGGAGCAACGCCGCGUGAGUGAUGAAGGUCUUCGGAUCGUAAAACUCUGUUAUUAGGGAAGAACAUAUGUGUAAGUAACUGUGCACAUCUUGACGGUACCUAAUCAGAAAGCCACGGCUAACUACGUG
This 497-nucleotide ribosomal RNA is filed under the name uncultured bacterium. RNAcentral's name for it is "partial 16S ribosomal RNA". It matches the Rfam family "Bacterial small subunit ribosomal RNA", at positions 28 to 507 of the family's 1533-position model. The record is from RNAcentral.